CGCUAAUAACGGAAAGCAUUAGAGAUAGUGCCCCCCUUGUGGUCGGUGUACAGGUGGUGCAUGGCUGUCGUCAGCUCGUGUCGUGAGAUGUUGGGUUAAGUCCCGCAACGAGCGCAACCCUUGUUCUGUGUUGCCAGCAUGCCCUUCGGGGUGAUGGGGACUCACAGGAGACUGCCGGGGUCAACUCGGAGGAAGGUGGGGACGACGUCAAGUCAUCAUGCCCCUUAUGUCUUGGGCUGCACACGUGCUACAAUGGCAGGUACAAAGAGCUGCGAAGCCGUGAGGCGGAGCGAAUCUCAAAAAGCCUGUCUCAGUUCGGAUUGGGGUCUGCAACUCGACCCCAUGAAGUCGGAGUUGCUAGUAAUCGCAGAUCAGCAUUGCUGCGGUGAAUACGUUCCCGGGCCUUGUACACACCG
RNAcentral lists this ribosomal RNA (416 nucleotides) under uncultured bacterium. RNAcentral describes it as "bacterial SSU rRNA". It matches the Rfam family "Bacterial small subunit ribosomal RNA", at positions 981 to 1392 of the family's 1533-position model. The record is from RNAcentral.